Small nucleolar RNA from Sorex araneus (European shrew), 104 nucleotides. RefSeq annotates it as small nucleolar RNA U13. The transcript has a single exon. The record is from RefSeq and is a predicted model, not a curated record. NCBI's taxonomy places the organism in Eukaryota, Metazoa, Chordata, Mammalia, Eulipotyphla, Soricidae.
AUCCUUUUCCAGUUCAUAUGCAUGAUGAUUGGAUGCUCACACGUUUGUGUGACAUGUGCUGCCCUUAAAUCUUGUUACACAUUUGGCACAUUACCCAUCUGAUG